UACAGAGGUCCCAAGCGUUGUUCGGAUUCACUGGGCGUAAAGGGUGCGUAGGCGGUCGGGUAAGUCUGAUGUGAAAUCUCACAGCUUAACUGUGAAACUGCAUUGGAUACUAUCCGGCUCGAGGAAUGGAGGGGAGACUGGAAUACUUGGUGUAGCAGUGAAAUGCGUAGAUAUCAAGUGGAACACCAGUGGCGAAGGCGGGUCUCUGGGCCGAUACUGACGCUGAGGAGCGAAAGCGUGGGGAGCGAACAGG
Molecule: ribosomal RNA, 253 nt
Filed under: uncultured bacterium
Lineage: Bacteria
Description: partial 16S ribosomal RNA
Rfam family: Bacterial small subunit ribosomal RNA
Source: RNAcentral